ACCGCAGUUCCCGGUAGGGGCGCUGGUGUAGCUAUUUUUAGAAAAUGGCCAGAACUUGGUUCACCGACCCCGUCGCGUUUAAGGCUUAAUUACACCUAUUUCUUUGACGAAUUCCGCGCGGUUUUUUUUACAUAUGAGAAGUACAAACCUUCGAAUUGGCGUAUUUCGCACAACUGUAUAUCCUCGACGAGAAAACGAUUAAAUAUGAGGUAAGUGAAAUUUCAGACAUCUGCCAAAUACCUUAAAAUCAACAAAGUCAAUAAAAUACGGGUAAAUACGCUUAAUAUACAUCUAAUAGAAGUUAAAAAAUAUUUUUGUGUAUUUUUGUUCAAUCAUCAAAGUGACGAAAAAAAGGCUUGAAGUUUUCAGUCGGGCAGUUGUUUAGAGUUACCUCCCCUGUUAUCUGACGUCACAAAUUCCCAGGCACUUCCAAAGAUCGAUUCCGCAGAGGGUAAAAAAAGAUACCAUGAUGCUGUAAGCAAAAGUUUCAUUGUGAUUGCCAGUGGUUGGACUAAAUGGAAUUGGGGAUUCCCUCAACAUAUUAACUGUUUAACAGUUCACAGAUUUCAUCGCCUUUCACCACCCAAGUUAUGGUCUGAAGGGAGGGUAG
Haliotis rubra (blacklip abalone) is the source of this 610-nucleotide long non-coding RNA. RefSeq lists it as uncharacterized. The transcript has 3 exons. Lineage: Eukaryota; Metazoa; Mollusca; Gastropoda; Lepetellida; Haliotidae. The record is from RefSeq and is a predicted model, not a curated record.